This 391-nucleotide ribosomal RNA is filed under the name uncultured bacterium. RNAcentral's name for it is "bacterial SSU rRNA". It matches the Rfam family "Bacterial small subunit ribosomal RNA", at positions 28 to 419 of the family's 1533-position model. The record is from RNAcentral.
GACGAACGCUGGCGGCGUGCUUAACACAUGCAAGUCGAGCGGUAAGGCCCUUUCGGGGGUACGACGAGCGGCGAACGGGUGAGUAACACGUGGGUGACCUGCCCUCAGCUCUGGGAUAAGCCCGGGAAACUGGGUCUAAUACUGGAUAUGACUCCACGGUGCAUGCCGUGGGGUGGAAAGCCUUGUGCGGCUGAGGAUGGGCCCGCGGCCUAUCAGCUUGUUGGUGGGGUGAUGGCCUACCAAGGCGACGACGGGUAGCCGGCCUGAGAGGGCGACCGGCCACACUGGGACUGAGACACGGCCCAGACUCCUACGGGAGGCAGCAGUGGGGAAUCUUGCGCAAUGGGCGAAAGCCUGACGCAGCGACGCCGCGUGAGGGAUGACGGCCUGU